RNAcentral lists this ribosomal RNA (874 nucleotides) under marine metagenome. RNAcentral describes it as "bacterial SSU rRNA". It matches the Rfam family "Bacterial small subunit ribosomal RNA", at positions 43 to 965 of the family's 1533-position model. The record is from RNAcentral.
CACGCCUAACACAUGCAAGUCGAACGAAGUAGCAAUACUUAGUGGCAGACGGGUGAGUAACAUGUAGGUAUCUGCCCUUUGGCCUGGAAUAACACGAGGAAACUUGUGCUAAUACCGGAUAAGUCUUUACGGAGAAAGCUUUAUGCACCAUUGGAUGAGCCUGCACUUGAUUAGUUUGUUGGUGGGGUAAUGGCCUACCAAGACUGUGAUCAAUAGCUGAUUUGAGAGGAUGAUCAGCCACAUUGGGACUGAGACACGGCCCAAACUCCUACGGGAGGCAGCAGUGGGGAAUCUUGCACAAUGGAGGAAACUCUGAUGCAGCGAUGCCGCGUGAGUGAAGAAGGCCCUUGGGUUGUAAAGCUCUUUCGUCGGGGAAGAAAAUGACUGUACCCGAAUAAGAAGGUCCGGCUAACUUCGUGCCAGCAGCCGCGGUAAUACGAAGGGACCUAGCGUAGUUCGGAAUUACUGGGCUUAAAGAGUUCGUAGGUGGUUGAAAAAGUUGGUGGUGAAAUCCCAGAGCUUAACUCUGGAACUGCCAUCAAAACUUUUCAGCUAGAGUAUGAUAGAGGAAAGCAGAAUUUCUAGUGUAGAGGUGAAAUUCGUAGAUAUUAGAAAGAAUACCAAUUGCGAAGGCAGCUUUCUGGAUCAUUACUGACACUGAGGAACGAAAGCAUGGGUAGCGAAGAGGAUUAGAUACCCUCGUAGUCCAUGCCGUAAACGAUGUGUGUUAGACGUUGGAAAUUUAUUUUCAGUGUCGCAGCGAAAGCGAUAAACACACCGCCUGGGGAGUACGACCGCAAGGUUAAAACUCAAAUGAAUUGACGGGGACCCGCACAAGUAGUGGAGCAUGUGGUUUAAUUCGAAGAUACGCGCA